UGUGAUUUGAUGAAGUGGGUUACAGAGC
This 28-nucleotide non-coding RNA is filed under the name Homo sapiens (human). The record is from RNAcentral. Lineage: Eukaryota; Metazoa; Chordata; Mammalia; Primates; Hominidae.